RNAcentral lists this ribosomal RNA (253 nucleotides) under uncultured bacterium. RNAcentral's name for it is "partial 16S ribosomal RNA". It matches the Rfam family "Bacterial small subunit ribosomal RNA", at positions 524 to 776 of the family's 1533-position model. The record is from RNAcentral.
UACGAAGGGGGCUAGCGUUGCUCGGAAUUACUGGGCGUAAAGGGAGCGUAGGCGGACAUUUAAGUCAGGGGUGAAAUCCCGAGGCUCAACCUCGGAACUGCCUUUGAUACUGGGUGUCUUGAGUGUGAGAGAGGUGAGUGGAACUCCGAGUGUAGAGGUGAAAUUCGUAGAUAUUCGGAAGAACACCAGUGGCGAAGGCGGCUCACUGGCUCGGAACUGACGCUGAGGUGCGAAAGCGUGGGGAGCAAACAGG